This 861-nucleotide ribosomal RNA is filed under the name uncultured bacterium. Its description in RNAcentral is "SSU rRNA". It matches the Rfam family "Bacterial small subunit ribosomal RNA", at positions 524 to 1381 of the family's 1533-position model. The record is from RNAcentral.
UACGGGGGGUGCAAGCGUUACUCGGAAUCACUGGGCGUAAAGAGCAUGUAGGCGGAUUAAUAAGUUUGAAGUGAAAUCCUAUAGCUUAACUAUAGAACUGCUUUGAAAACUGUUAAUCUAGAAUGUGGGAGAGGUAGAUGGAAUUUCUGGUGUAGGGGUAAAAUCCGUAGAGAUCAGAAGGAAUACCGAUUGCGAAGGCGAUCUACUGGAACAUUAUUGACGCUGAGAUGCGAAAGCGUGGGGAGCAAACAGGAUUAGAUACCCUGGUAGUCCACGCCCUAAACGAUGUACACUAGUUGUUGUGAGACUUGAUCUUGCAGUAAUGCAGUUAACACAUUAAGUGUACCGCCUGGGGAGUACGGUCGCAAGAUUAAAACUCAAAGGAAUAGACGGGGACCCGCACAAGCGGUGGAGCAUGUGGUUUAAUUCGACGAUACACGAAGAACCUUACCUGGACUUGACAUAGUAAGAACUUUCUAGAGAUAGAUUGGUGUCUGCUUGCAGAAACUUAUAUACAGGUGCUGCACGGCUGUCGUCAGCUCGUGUCGUGAGAUGUUGGGUUAAGUCCCGCAACGAGCGCAACCCUCGUGUUUAGUUGCUAACAGUUCGGCUGAGAACUCUAAACAGACUGCCUACGCAAGUAGGAGGAAGGUGAGGACGACGUCAAGUCAUCAUGGCCCUUACGUCCAGGGCUACACACGUGCUACAAUGGGAUAUACAAAGAGCGGCAAUACGGUGACGUGGAGCAAAUCUUAUAAAAUAUCUCCCAGUUCGGAUUGUAGUCUGCAACUCGACUACAUGAAGUUGGAAUCGCUAGUAAUCGUAGAUCAGCUAUGCUACGGUGAAUACGUUCCCGGGUCU